Long non-coding RNA from Drosophila busckii, 82 nucleotides. It matches the Rfam family "Heat shock gene hsromega conserved region 2". From Rfam's summary of the family: The heat shock gene hsromega is a long non-coding RNA which produces a number of transcripts. These transcripts include a nuclear transcript, hsromega-n, which is detected as small speckles in the interchromatin space and co-localises with heterogeneous nuclear RNA-binding proteins (hnRNPs). The record is from Rfam. Lineage: Eukaryota; Metazoa; Arthropoda; Insecta; Diptera; Drosophilidae.
AUUGAUAUUUUGAGAUUGAUUGCACGGAUUGAUUAAUAGGAACCUGUAUCGACUUCUCUGCUCCACUACUAUUACCAAUAAA